GAAAAAUCCAUGGCUACUCUUCACUCCUGUUCCUUUUCUUCACUUCACAGCUUUCCCUCUGUAACGUUAAAGUACUCUCGAACUCAGCCAAGGAUUUUGCGAUUCAAUUGCCGAUCCAGUAGUGAUGAUAAGGAGGAUUAUUUGCUGGAUGCUCCUGUUUCAGUUGGGGACGGCUUUUCUUUUAGUGGAGGGAAGUAUUCAGACGAGCCAAGUCCGGCCGAUGAAUGGUUCGACAGAGGAAAAUUUGUGAAAGCUUAUCCAGUUUCUGGGACUGGGGAGAAAGCAAAGGAUCCCAUUUUUGGACUUACAAUGGGUGAGAGUUCGCAGGCAUCAUCUGAUCUUUUCAGGGUUACCCAUUGAAUGUGAUUUUGUGCAAUAGAUGGUUUUGUGUAGAAAGUGGAAGCUCUAACAAUUCUCCCAUUCUAUUAAUCCACGGCUUACCAUCACAGGCAUACUCUUAUCGCAAAGUUCUUCCCAUGCUUGAGAACAACUAUCAUGCUAUAGCACUUGAUUGGCUUGGAUUUGGAUUCUCAGAUAAGCCCCAACCAAAAUAUGGAUUUGACUAUACAUUGGAUGAAUAUGUGGCAUCCUUGGAAUCUGUGAUCAAUGCUCUUACUGACAAAAAGGUUACUCUUGUAGUGCAGGGGUAUUUCUCAGCAAUUGCAAUCAAAUAUGCG
This 677-nucleotide unclassified non-coding RNA is filed under the name Hevea brasiliensis (rubber tree). Lineage: Eukaryota; Viridiplantae; Streptophyta; Magnoliopsida; Malpighiales; Euphorbiaceae. The record is from RNAcentral.